RNAcentral lists this long non-coding RNA (642 nucleotides) under Astyanax mexicanus (Mexican tetra). Its description in RNAcentral is "lncRNA (ENSAMXG00005001749.1)". Lineage: Eukaryota; Metazoa; Chordata; Actinopteri; Characiformes; Acestrorhamphidae. The record is from RNAcentral.
UACAUAGUAACAAUAUUUUUCUGUGGUGUUUUGAGUAUACAUAUAGGUGUGUAACUAUAUUUUGCACGCUUUUUAACAGGCUGUAAGCUGUCGGCUUGCACAAAUAGCUGGAGAGGCACAAAAUGUUGUGGCUUUGUCAACAGACACCUUCAUUUUAUGGCACAGAGACUGGAUAGCCUCCAAAAAAAUUGAAGAAUCACAUGUAAAAGUGCUUGAGGUAUUAAACUACAUACCUUGACAUUGGGGUUAUUUCCAAGUAUGUGUUUCUCUACAAAGUUUAUAAUUAAUAUAUAUAUUUGUUUCAUUUUAGAAUUCCCAGAAAAUCCUUUGUCCACGGAUUGUUGAAAAUGGAGAUUUACCAGAGAGGGGUGCCACUUCAUCAUUUGGGUUUUUGAUGUGCCAGCAAAGGAGAUCAGAAUUUAUGACAACACACAACAAUACGUCACAAUUAGAAAUUCUGACAUGGACAUCCUCAAGGAAGCUUUUAAGCAGUAUGAGUCCCUAGAGGGCUGGACUGUAUCUAAUCCACACCAAUGGACCAAAAAUGAUGGCUACAACUGUGGAGUUUUUGUUUGCACGAUGGCAGAGAUGGAAGCAAAACAUCUCAAAAUGUGUCCUGAAGUGCUGCACACUGGACAACUU